Meleagris gallopavo (turkey) is the source of this 2753-nucleotide non-coding RNA. The record is from RefSeq and is a predicted model, not a curated record. Lineage: Eukaryota; Metazoa; Chordata; Aves; Galliformes; Phasianidae.
CACUGCUCUGUGUAUUUCUAGUAUGCCUUUCUCUUCUAUUGUGCACUAUUAGAAUGGGAAUGGCUUGGACAUAGUAAAUAGUCUGGUCGACACUGGCAGCUGCAAGCAAUGAGCUGACAAGUGAUUCAGUCACAAGGAGAUAUCUAACAUUCCAAAGAUGUGUGUUUCCCAGGCAUUUUUGGACAGGCACAAGGUACAACUCCGCAGCCCCUGAGUUCAGAAUGCUCAAGUGAAGUGGUCUGUUUAAUUGCUCUUUUGUUGGUAUCAUGGUAUUUGUAAGGGCUGCUGAACGGAGCUGGGGAGCUGCAUGUGCCAAUUAUGGUCUAUGACAAGCUUUUCUUCAUUAAAAUGACCUCAAAACUAGGCAAUGAAACAGAUUCACGAGUAAGAGGCUCCUCAGGCCUAUAGGAGAGCACACAGGUGCGUCAUCUGCUCUGGUAACCCCGACUGCCCACACAACCUAAGGCUGCUUCAGCUGGUGGGAGCACAGCGUCCUCCCCAUCCCAGCACCAGUCAGAGGCACGUGCUGUGAGCUUUGGGGUGCACUGAUCUGAUGGAGGAAGUGAAUGACCCCACGUCUCAUCUCCUGCAAGUGGUGCAAGCGAGGAGUAAGUUCUUGAAGCAGCCAUUGCGCAAAAGGAUUUAAUCUGCAGUGUCUAAAGCCAAUCCUAGGUGGUUUUAGCCCACCAAGGAGAUAAAUCGAGAAAUAAUUCAUCAGUGUCUUCUCUGACAAUGGUCAAGAACUUCUUGAUGCCUGAAGACCUGCUAAGGAACUGUCCCAGGGGCAGAAUAUGAUGGAUGUGAGGGGUUGCCUGUGCUGCUCUGACUGUGUUUUAACAACUGAUGCCAGAGAGAUUGGUGGGAACAAGAAGAUAAUCUCAGCACUAACAGGGCUCAGUGCUGAAAAACAUGAGCAGGAGAGGAGAGUUCUGCGGAGGGGAACAACAAAGCAGGAGAAUGGUUGAAGCCACAGCCUUGUGAAAUAAUUCCUGAAGCUUGGCACACUAGUGGUGUAUCAUGCCCAUCUGCAAAAGAAUGUCUCUCUGUAAGUCUUAAGAAGGUGGAGAGGUGGAAAACCAAAGUUCUUUCAGUGCAAAUAAACCUUCCUUUUCCUUAAUUCCUUUGAGGGUAUUAUUUAAAUGCUGAAGCAUUUGUACAUGGGCGAGAUUGACUGAGGUGUUAAGAUUCCAGUGGACUUAGAAUCAUAGAAUGGUUUGGGCUGGAAAGGAGCAUUAAGACCAUUUAAUUCCAACCCUCCUGCUAUAGGCAGGGGCAGCUUCUGUUCAAAGCCUCAACCACACUGGCCUGGAAUACUUCCAGGGAGUGGGCAUUCACAGCCUCACUGGACUUCACAAAGCCUCUUCCAGUUCUCGACGUGGGAGUGGAAAACUGUGGCAGUUUAUCAGUAACAGAUGAGAAAAUUGAGAAAAGUUUGGGAAUGUAACAGUCAUCUGAUUGGUACAAUUAAAUUAUGAAAUAAGCCCACCCCAAAGAAAUCAUGUCUGAAGUGUUCCGCAGUCUAGAUUUACCUCAUCUCCAUAAGAAAAUUACUCCAGAGCUAUUGACAAAAAAAGGCAUAUUUUCUUCACAGCUCUCCUCAAAACUUUGCUCUGAGCUUUAUGACCUCUCAUAGGAGUACUGUUACCAUGGGUGUCCACGGAUGAAAAUUCUAUCUUUGAUGUAGCUGGGUCUUAAGACACUAAUUGCUCUGAAAAAUGGGAGCAGGGCCCUAUGCUGGCAUCAGAUGCUGACAGAGAGCUCUGGGAAAGACUUGAGUGCAAAUCAGAUAUGCCCUUGGCUACUUGAGCCAUAGAAAAAGCAGUUGUUCCCCAUUCCCAACCAGCUGGAGUUGGUGUACCAUUCCCAAGUUGAGUUUCAAGACACAUUGAGUUAUUAUAAUACUUCCCAGAAGUGACAUGUUCAGGGACUAAUGAUGCACCCCAAGCAGCUGGAGUUUGCCAAGUGUCAGACACAAGGCACAGCUUUGGCAAAUGUGGACAGAGUGCUUGUCCACAAAGGAAAGAUGAUGUUUCCAUGAGUUGUUUCCAAGAUCCUUAUUCUGGACCUGCAUUUUGGCUGUGUUUGGAUUCGUUCACUUCAGCCUCACUUGGAUUCAGUUCAAGCCAUCUGCUCCUCUCCAAGAGCUAAUUUCCUGGAGGUGUUCUGGCAUGCUGUUAGUGUCAAUGGUUGUGUCUGUGGAGGACAAGAACUCUGACUGUCACUGCAGACUGUUGGCAGCCAAGCCUGCAGCACCUCUACGUCUCUCCUAAUCAUCCUGCAUAAUUAAUGGAGAGAAGAAGGGAUUAUCUGAAUGCCUGUGGGCUGUUCAAGGAAGGGAGAGCAGAACCUGUCUCCACUUCUCUACUAUCUGCUGAUCACCAGCAAUAGAAACUAUGUUAAGGAUGAAGAGUCUACUUCUGGUAUGAAUUGUUAUUACUAGCUUCUUUGAUUUUUUUGCAUCAAAAGCUGCAGAUUGAGCCAGUAUGGCAAAGGUGGUGGUAGCCAUGAGAACAACUACAGCACAGCUGUCUGUGCUGUGCCGUUGGUGAUGGCCUCUCUGAGGCUAUCUGAUGUUGGCCUAUGUGAUUCCACUGGCAGGUAGGAGGGAGAGGUAACAGAGGAAUACAUGCAGGGAUGUUCAAGGUCAAGGAGGAAUUUUUGAAAAGCUUAAAGAAACUAUUGAUUGUUGGAAGAAGAUCUUUGAAGGCAUUCUUUUUCUUUUUUUCUUUUAAUAUAUUGAAUUCUGGUUGUUU